GAGAGCGUAUCUCAACGGACAGAGAGCCGGUUCGCGAAGCCGGUCGAUGGAGGUUCGAAUCCUCCCGCUUUCA
Molecule: transfer RNA, 73 nt
Filed under: bacterium
Lineage: Bacteria
Description: tRNA-Arg
Rfam family: tRNA
About the family: Transfer RNA (tRNA) molecules are approximately 80 nucleotides in length.
Source: RNAcentral